This 58-nucleotide transfer RNA is filed under the name Bemisia tabaci. RNAcentral describes it as "tRNA-Ser". Lineage: Eukaryota; Metazoa; Arthropoda; Insecta; Hemiptera; Aleyrodidae. The record is from RNAcentral.
AAAACCAAUAAUUAAUACUUUGAAAGUGUUAUUUAGGCUUUACCAGCCUUUGGUUUUU